This 74-nucleotide transfer RNA is filed under the name Xestospongia muta (giant barrel sponge). Its description in RNAcentral is "tRNA-His". It matches the Rfam family "tRNA". From Rfam's summary of the family: Transfer RNA (tRNA) molecules are approximately 80 nucleotides in length. Their secondary structure includes four short double-helical elements and three loops (D, anti-codon, and T loops). Lineage: Eukaryota; Metazoa; Porifera; Demospongiae; Haplosclerida; Petrosiidae. The record is from RNAcentral.
GGUAAAAGUAGCUCAGUUGGUAGAGUAAGGGUUUGUGGCGCCCAAGGUCGAGAGUUCAAGUCUCUUCUUUUACC